GUCCAAGUGGCGGAAUUGGUAGACGCGCAUCCUUGAGGGGGAUGUGCCCGUUAGGGCGUGCUGGUUCAACUCCAGUCUUGGACACAA
This 87-nucleotide transfer RNA is filed under the name bacterium. RNAcentral's name for it is "tRNA-Leu". It matches the Rfam family "tRNA". Rfam says of the family: Transfer RNA (tRNA) molecules are approximately 80 nucleotides in length. Their secondary structure includes four short double-helical elements and three loops (D, anti-codon, and T loops). Further hydrogen bonds mediate the characteristic L-shaped molecular structure. tRNAs have two regions of fundamental functional importance: the anti-codon, which is responsible for specific mRNA codon recognition, and the 3' end, to which the tRNAs corresponding amino acid is attached (by aminoacyl-tRNA synthetases). tRNAs cope with the degeneracy of the genetic code in two manners: having more than one tRNA (with a specific anti-codon) for a particular amino acid; and 'wobble' base-pairing, i.e. permitting non-standard base-pairing at the 3rd anti-codon position. The record is from RNAcentral.